UUCAUUAUUAACUGGGUGACGUAAGCUAACGCGUUAAGCGGGGCGCCUGGGGAGUACAACCGCAAGGUUAAAACUCAAAGGAAUUGACGGGGGAGCGCACAACCGGUGGAGCAUGUGGUUUAAUUCGAUACAAAGCGAAAAACCUUACCUGGGUUUGACAUAUACCUGCACGUUCUAUGAAAAUAGAAUUUCUUCGAGAGUGGUAUACAGGUGAUGCAUGGCUGUCGUCAGCUCGUGUCGUGAGACGUCCGCUUAAGUGCGGUAACGAGCGCAACCCUUGUCGUCAGUUAUACGUAUCUGACGAGACUGCCCUGCUGCUAGCAGGGAGGAAGGAGAGGACGACGUCAAGUCAGCAUGUCCCUUACAUCCAGGGCUACACACAUCCUACAAUAGGACUGACAACGGGUAGCGACAGGGCAACCUUGAGCUAAUCCUUAUAAACUGUCCCUCAGUUCAGAUUGCGGGCUGCAAUUCGCCCGCAUGAAGUCGGAAUCGGUAGUA
RNAcentral lists this ribosomal RNA (501 nucleotides) under uncultured organism. Its description in RNAcentral is "bacterial SSU rRNA". It matches the Rfam family "Bacterial small subunit ribosomal RNA", at positions 828 to 1340 of the family's 1533-position model. The record is from RNAcentral.